This 528-nucleotide ribosomal RNA is filed under the name uncultured bacterium. RNAcentral's name for it is "partial 16S ribosomal RNA". It matches the Rfam family "Bacterial small subunit ribosomal RNA", at positions 355 to 871 of the family's 1533-position model. The record is from RNAcentral.
UGGGGAAUAUUGGACAAUGGGCGCAAGCCUGAUCCAGCAAUGCCGCGUGUGUGAAGAAGGCCUUCGGGUUGUAAAGCACUUUUAUCAGGAGCGAAACGCUGUCGGCUAAUACCCGGCGGAACUGACGGUACCUGAGGAAUAAGCACCGGCUAACUUCGUGCCAGCAGCCGCGGUAAUACGAAGGGUGCAAGCGUUAAUCGGAAUUACUGGGCGUAAAGCGUGCGUAGGCGGUUUCUUAAGUCUGCUGUGAAAUCCCCGGGCUCAACCUGGGAAUGGCAGUGGAUACUGGGAGGCUAGAGUGUGUCAGAGGGUGGUGGAAUUCCCGGUGUAGCGGUGAAAUGCGUAGAGAUCGGGAGGAACAUCAGUGGCGAAGGCGGCCACCUGGGACAACACUGACGCUGAGGCACGAAAAGCGUGGGGGAGCAAACAGGAUUAGAUACCCUGGUAGUCCACGCCCUAAAACGAUGCGAACUGGAUGUUGGUCUCAACUCGGAGAUCAGUGUCGAAGCUAACGCGUUAAGUUCGCCG